GUUUCACUCAGUGCCUGGCUGCUUCACGUAUUUUCCCUAGGCAUUUGGUCCUAUCUCUCCAGCCUUUCUAUUCCUCACCCCUUCACCAGGAGGAAAGGAUUCUUUUCUUCAGUCCUUUGUACCUAUUGUUAACUUAGAUGGACAGCUUCGCCUGUGUAAUGCAGGAAAAGGGGGACCGGUUCUGCUGGACAUCUCAAGCCAUCAAGACAGACGUUGUCAUAAGAAGCAAUACACACCAAUGAUCAAAAUCAUCUAUUUGGAAAGACUGCAGUACUGAGGAACCUACCUGGGCUAUCACAUUUUUGGCAUGCUACAGGACAAGAUGAUUUAGUAAUCAAGCUGGUCAUUCAGUUUCCAACUGUAGAGAUCAAGAUCAUCUCCAGAUGAUCUUAUGCAGUGGGCAACCAGCUCAGUUGGCCGUAUCAGCAGAAUCUAAGACUGAACAUACAAACCUGGUGCGGUUUUUGAACUUCUGUUUCAGUGCUGAACUUUGUAUGAAAAAUGAGAUGGAAUCAGGUGUGG
Chroicocephalus ridibundus (black-headed gull) is the source of this 522-nucleotide long non-coding RNA. RefSeq lists it as uncharacterized. Lineage: Eukaryota; Metazoa; Chordata; Aves; Charadriiformes; Laridae. The record is from RefSeq and is a predicted model, not a curated record. The transcript has 4 exons.